RNAcentral lists this unclassified non-coding RNA (355 nucleotides) under uncultured fungus. Its description in RNAcentral is "sequence contains ITS1". The stretch from base 1 to 107 matches the Rfam family "5.8S ribosomal RNA", at positions 50 to 154 of the family's 154-position model. The record is from RNAcentral. Lineage: Eukaryota; Fungi.
GAAAUGCGAUACUUGGUGUGAAUUGCAGAAUCCCGUGAACCAUCGAGUCUUUGAACGCAAGUUGCGCCCGAAGCCAUUAGGUUGAGGGCACGUCUGCCUGGGCGUCACACACAGCGUCGCUCCCCACCAACCUAGUUGGUGAAGAGCGGAGAUUGGCCCCCCGAGUCCUCCGGGCACGGUCGGCACAAAUAUUGGUCCCCGGCAGCGAGUGUCGCGGUCAGCGGUGGUUGUAUUCUUCCUCCAAAGACAAAAUGACGCGUACCUCGUUGCGUGCGGGAUCGAAACGACCCCCGAAAGCCGUUCGUGGCAUUCACCCUGCGACCCCAGGUCAGGCGGGAUUACCCGCUGAGUUUAA